Molecule: non-coding RNA, 26 nt
Filed under: Mus musculus (house mouse)
Lineage: Eukaryota; Metazoa; Chordata; Mammalia; Rodentia; Muridae
Source: RNAcentral
GGAUUUUCCUGUCAGCGAGGCUUCCC